Molecule: long non-coding RNA, 250 nt
Filed under: Brachypodium distachyon (stiff brome)
Lineage: Eukaryota; Viridiplantae; Streptophyta; Magnoliopsida; Poales; Poaceae
Description: long non-coding RNA (BDIS_LNC003973)
Source: RNAcentral
UGCAGUUAUACUCCUGAAUACUACUCCUAAGGGUAUGUGCAAUGGUUGAUUUGGUAGUUUUUUCUUAUGUGUUUCACGUCAUUUAGAAAAGAUAAGAAAACAUAUUAUACAAUAGGUCAUCUCUUAUUGCCUUAUCUUACAAUUAAUGGUUAGAUGAAUAAAAUAAAAUAAAAUAAAAUAAAUGUUAAGAAAAGGUGAAAUCUAGUACAAUAGGGAAUUUGUCUUUUUUUAACUUAUCCUUCUUGUGAAU